GACGAACGCUGGCGGCGUGCUUAACACAUGCAAGUCGAGCGGUAAGGCCCUUUCGGGGGUACACGAGCGGCGAACGGGUGAGUAACACGUGGGUGACCUGCCCUCAGCUCUGGGAUAAGCCCGGGAAACUGGGUCUAAUACUGGAUAUUACUCUGCGGUGCAUGCCGUGGGGUGGAAAGCCUUGUGCGGCUGGGGAUGGGCCCGCGGCCUAUCAGCUUGUUGGUGGGGUGAUGGCCACCAAGGCGACGACGGGUAGCCGGCCUGAGAGGGCGACCGGCCACACUGGGACUGAGACACGGCCCAGACUCCUACGGGAGGCAGCAGUGGGGAAUCUUGCGCAAUGGGCGAAAGCCUGAACGCAGCGACGCCGCGUGAGGGAUGACGGCCU
This 388-nucleotide ribosomal RNA is filed under the name uncultured bacterium. RNAcentral describes it as "bacterial SSU rRNA". It matches the Rfam family "Bacterial small subunit ribosomal RNA", at positions 28 to 417 of the family's 1533-position model. The record is from RNAcentral.